Molecule: ribosomal RNA, 422 nt
Filed under: uncultured bacterium
Lineage: Bacteria
Description: bacterial SSU rRNA
Rfam family: Bacterial small subunit ribosomal RNA
Source: RNAcentral
UGAGGAAUAUUGGGCAAUGCCCGCAAGGGUGACCCAGCAACGCCGCGUGGAGGAUGAAUGUCGUAAGAUUGUAAACUCCUGUUAGAGGGGAAGAAUAGUACCGGUUGGACUGGUAUAUGACUGUACCCUCAGAGAAAGCCCCGGCUAACUUCGUGCCAGCAGCCGCGGUAAUACGAAGGGGGCUAGCGUUGCUCGGAAUUACUGGGCGUAAAGCGCACGUAGGCGGACUCUUAAGUCGGUGGUGAAAUCCUGGAGCUCAACUCCAGAACUGCCUUCGAUACUGGGAGUCUUGAGUUCGGGAGAGNUGAGUGGAACUGCGAGUGUAGAGGUGAAAUUCGUAGAUAUUCGCAAGAACACCAGUGGCGAAGGCGGCUCACUGGCCCGAUACUGACGCUGAGGUGCGAAAGCGUAGGGAGCAAACA